RNAcentral lists this long non-coding RNA (601 nucleotides) under Nicotiana benthamiana. Its description in RNAcentral is "long non-coding RNA (NBEN_LNC037087)". The record is from RNAcentral. Lineage: Eukaryota; Viridiplantae; Streptophyta; Magnoliopsida; Solanales; Solanaceae.
UAUUAUCUAACAAUUUUUAUUUCCUUAUUUGAUGAUUUGAUUGAAUGAUUUUCUUUUAAAACCCUAAAAUUCUACCUCGUCUAUUUAAAUUGACUGAUCUCCUAACUUAUUUGUUGUGGUACUUUGUUCUUACUGAAUUAUUUCCUUAAUUGGAGUUUACUAAACUUAGUCCUAAUUGGCUACCUUCUGCUUAGUGAACUUUGAUUCUUUCCUUAUCAGUCAUAUACUAAUUUUUUUGCCUUAUAUGCUACUGGUUCUCGCCAUUUGAAUGAAUUCCCUUAGCUUAAGGGAGUACUUGCCUUGAUUUUCUAACUGUCUGACUCUAAGUUCCUCAAUUACUAUGCUACUUUCAUUCUUACCUUAUUUACUACCUUCUUUCAAACUAUAUAUAUGCUCUCUCAUUAACACACACACACGAACACUUGGGUUUAAAACUAUCUCUCAAUCUUAACAAAUCUCUGCGCUCUUUCUCUCUUGUGCUACUUGCUACUGUUCUAUGUUAGCCGGGUGGAAGACAAGGCUAACCAUUUGGGCUCUCUUGUUCUUUCAUUCUUCUUACUCUCCUCUUCACUAGCAUGUCCUAGUUUCGAUUCAAAGUUCC